CAGUAACGGCGAGUGAAGCGGCAUCAGCUCAAAUUUGAAAUCUGGCUCCUUCGGGGUCCGAAUUGUAAUUUGUAGAGAGUGCUUCGGGCGAGACCUCGGUCUAAGUCCAUUGGAACAUGGUGUCAUAGAGGGUGAGAAUCCCGUAUGCGACCGUGGCUCGAGCCCAUGUGAAGCCUCUUCGACGAGUCGAGUUGUUUGGGAAUGCAGCUCAAAAUGGGUGGUAAAUUUCAUCUAAAGCUAAAUACUGGCUGGAGACCGAUAGCGCACAAGUAGAGUGAUCGAAAGAUGAAAAGCACUUUGGAAAGAGAGUCAAACAGUACGUGAAAUUGUUGAAAGGGAAGCGCUUGCAACCAGACCUGCCCGUAGGCGAUCAGCCGCUGUUCUCAGCGGUGUACUCGCUCUGCGAUCAGGCCAGCAUCGGUUUCGGCGGUCGGAUAAAGGCCUUGGGAAUGUAGCUUCCCUUCGGGGGAGUCUUAUAGCCCUCGGUGUAAUGCGGCCAGCUGGGACCGAGGACCGCGCUUCGGCUAGGAUGCUGGCGUAAUGGUUGUAAGCGACCCGUCUUGAAACACGGACCAAGGAGUCUAACAUCUAUGCGAGUGUUUGGGUGUCAAACCCAUACGCGGAAUGAAAGUGAACGGAGGUGAGAACCCUUAAGGGCGCAUCAUCGACCGAUCCAGAUGUCUUCGGAUGGAUUUGAGUAUGAGCAUAGCUGUUGGGACCCGAAAGAUGGUGAACUAUGCCUGAAUAGGGUGAAGCCAGAGGAAACUCUGGUGGAGGCUCGCAGCGGUUCUGACGUGCAAAUCGAUCGUCAAAUUUGGGUAUAGGGGCGAAAGACUAAUC
RNAcentral lists this ribosomal RNA (840 nucleotides) under Xanthoparmelia camtschadalis. RNAcentral's name for it is "eukaryotic LSU rRNA". It matches the Rfam family "Eukaryotic large subunit ribosomal RNA", at positions 81 to 936 of the family's 3401-position model. Lineage: Eukaryota; Fungi; Ascomycota; Lecanoromycetes; Lecanorales; Parmeliaceae. The record is from RNAcentral.